UCUCGUGUUCACUUCUCUUUCUUCGUUUUUUCUGUGCUACUGAGAAUACCCUCUCUUUCUCUCUAACUUUAUUAGCUCUCUUUCUCUCUACGCCAUCGUUUUACCGCCGGUGAACGUUUAUUUAACCGGAGGAUUUGGUCAGUUGGGAAGUUCGAUCGGCUGUAGAGAACAAUUAGCACACGGCACCAGCUUAAUCGCAAAGUCAAGCUCUUUUGAUCGCGGUAAAAUUACCUUUCCGUCCUCGAUUUUGCCCUCGGAUCACUAAUUUUGUUAAAUUUUUGAGCUUUUUUGUUGAGCUUUUGCUGUUUUAAUUAUGAUUUUUCUUAGUUCUAUUUUCGACUAUUUUAGCCUUUUUAAGUUUUCUAUAAUUUGGAGUUUGCAUUAUUAUUAUUAUUUUUUUAAAUUAAUUUGAAUUUGAAGGUCUUAGGUUACUCAAGUUAUAGGGAUUAUGGUUUUAGGUAGUUUUUGAUUAAUCUUCUGAAUGUACUUGAAGAAAAUUUGUUAAUUGAUUUCUCAUUUCCAUUUCUAGUAAUUAGCUAAUUCGAAGGCAUUAAAUGAACAGAAAGUGAUGAAGGAUUCUUUUUUUCUACAUGGUCUGUUUUACAAAUUUGUAUCAAUAAAGCUUGGUUUUUGGAAGUUUUGUCGUGGGUAGAGUUACCCAGUACCUGAGCUGGUGGGAUGUAGCAGCUACCCGGUGUAAUAAUAGAGGUGCGUGUAAGCUGGCCCGGACACCACCGUCAUUGAAAAAAGCUAGUAAUAUUUGUGUAGUUGUUUUAGCUUAUUCAAUUUGUUAAUUGCAUUCCGACGUG
This 809-nucleotide long non-coding RNA is filed under the name Nicotiana tabacum (common tobacco). RNAcentral's name for it is "long non-coding RNA (NTAB_LNC006543)". The record is from RNAcentral. Lineage: Eukaryota; Viridiplantae; Streptophyta; Magnoliopsida; Solanales; Solanaceae.